GGACUGUAGUUCAGUGGCAGAAAGCUUGCCUAGCAUGCAUGAGGCACUGGGUUCAAUCCUUAGCACCA
Molecule: transfer RNA, 68 nt
Filed under: Marmota monax (woodchuck)
Lineage: Eukaryota; Metazoa; Chordata; Mammalia; Rodentia; Sciuridae
Description: tRNA.Ala
Source: RNAcentral